AAUGCAUUUUAAUUAAAUGCAUUUCUUUUAAGUGCAUUUCAGAGGUGGGCGUGCGACAGUAGUGGAGAUGGGCUGUUGGGCGGUUGUAUGUUGGAUGCUUAUGAGAAACAAAGGAAAAGGAGUACGUACCUGCAGUCGCUGGCAAUGAGGGCGAGGCCACUCGUACUGAAGCCAUCGCAGCAGACGCUAACGAGCUCUUUGAAGGAGGGGAAGGACUCGGCAAGGAGGGCCAGAUCGUCGUACGUGAUGGACAUGCUCUGGGUUUGGAAUGCAGGAAAUUUUGCUUCGCAUUGGCACACUUGGAUGGAUGAAGGCUGGAAAGCUAUUCAUCGUGGACUUGGCAGGAUAGGAGAAAACUAGGGCUGAAGGAAAAGUUAUCGAAGAAGCAAUAUGAUCAACAAGUCCCUCUCGGCCCUUGUGAAUGUCAUAAAUGAUCAACAUCCUGUUUCAUGUUUCCAAGCUUACUCGUAUUCUACAUGAUGCACUUGUUGGUUUCCUAGCCUUCUCAUCAUACUAGUAUCAACUUGUAGUUAAUAUCCAAUCUUGUUUGUAAUCUUGCAGGGUGGGGACUCCAGAACUGCUUUGUUGUGUUGUUGCUUACCGAGCCCUUCAGGCUUCAAAUGCAUCAGAGAACCAGUAGAAUGGGUCGAACACCAGCAAGAUGUAACCUCCAGAUUAAAAAUGUCAUAUAUCCUUUUUGGAGUGGAACGUGUAAAGAGUUGCAAGUUGGUCAGAUCCAACGACAAAGUCUCCCUCUUUUAGAGAUUGUGGUGCUCUAUUUGGAUUACUAGAAUAUGAAUUAUUUUUUUGUAUUACACUUUGGAAAUUAGAUAGUUUCAUUGUAUAUAGAAAAUUUAUAAUUUAUGUAUUACCUGCAGAAUCACCUGUUUAGGCCUUAUCUUUUUUUUUUUUUUUUAUAGUUUAUUUUUUCCUAAUAACAAAAGGAA
Juglans regia (Persian walnut) is the source of this 947-nucleotide RNA transcript. RefSeq lists it as uncharacterized. The transcript has 3 exons. The record is from RefSeq and is a predicted model, not a curated record. NCBI's taxonomy places the organism in Eukaryota, Viridiplantae, Streptophyta, Magnoliopsida, Fagales, Juglandaceae.